Molecule: ribosomal RNA, 681 nt
Filed under: Arthrobacter globiformis
Lineage: Bacteria; Bacillati; Actinomycetota; Actinomycetes; Micrococcales; Micrococcaceae
Description: bacterial SSU rRNA
Rfam family: Bacterial small subunit ribosomal RNA
Source: RNAcentral
GUGUUCCGGCGUCGUAUAGACCCGUGUGCUUGCACUGGUGAUUAGUGGCGAACGGGUGAGUAACACGUGAGUAACCUGCCCUUGACUCUGGGAUAAGCCUGGGAAACUGGGUCUAAUACCGGAUAUGACCUUCCAUCGCAUGGUGGUUGGUGGAAAGCUUUUGUGGUUUUGGAUGGACUCGCGGCCUAUCAGCUUGUUGGUGAGGUAAUGGCUUACCAAGGCGACGACGGGUAGCCGGCCUGAGAGGGUGACCGGCCACACUGGGACUGAGACACGGCCCAGACUCCUACGGGAGGCAGCAGUGGGGAAUAUUGCACAAUGGGCGCAAGCCUGAUGCAGCGACGCCGCGUGAGGGAUGACGGCCUUCGGGUUGUAAACCUCUUUCAGUAGGGAAGAAGCGAAAGUGACGGUACCUGCAGAAGAAUCGCCGGCUAACUACGUGCCAGCAGCCGCGGUAAUACGUAGGGCGCAAGCGUUAUCCGGAAUUAUUGGGCGUAAAGAGCUCGUAGGCGGUUUGUCGCGUCUGCCGUGAAAGUCCGGGGCUCAACUCCGGAUCUGCGGUGGGUACGGGGCAGACUAGAGUGAUGUAGGGGAGACUGGAAUUCCUGGUGUAGCGGUGAAAUGCGCAGAUAUCAGGAGGAACACCGAUGGCGAAGGCAGGUCUCUGGGCAUUAACUGACG